UCUAGAACUUGAGAUAUGGGCUGAACACUGAACAGUGUUUGGGCUGCAGGACAGAUUCAAACUUCUCUGUUGUUGCUACAAUUUGGUCUUAGAAAUGGCCUUUUUGAAUCUUGCAUUACCAUGAAAGUUUUAGGCCUAUGUCUUAGCUUUCCAUC
This is a non-coding RNA of Populus trichocarpa (black cottonwood), 155 nucleotides long. The record is from Rfam. NCBI's taxonomy places the organism in Eukaryota, Viridiplantae, Streptophyta, Magnoliopsida, Malpighiales, Salicaceae.